Molecule: ribosomal RNA, 405 nt
Filed under: uncultured prokaryote
Description: bacterial SSU rRNA
Rfam family: Bacterial small subunit ribosomal RNA
Source: RNAcentral
UGGGGAAUAUUGCGCAAUGGACGAAAGUCUGACGCAGCGACGCCGCGUGGGUGAUGAAGUUCUUCGGAACGUAAAACCCUGUCUGGUGGAACGAAAAAAAUGACGGUACCACCGAAGGAAGCCCCGGCUAACUCCGUGCCAGCAGCCGCGGUAAUACGGGGGGGGCUAGCGUUAUUCGGAAUUACUGGGUGUAAAGGGCGCGUAGGCGGCCUUGCCAGUCAGGUGUGAAAUCCCUCGGCUCAACUGAGGAACUGCGCUUGAUACUGCAAGGCUUGAGUACAGGAGAGGUGGGCGGAAUUCCCGGUGUAGCGGUGAAAUGCGUAGAUAUCGGGAAGAACAUCGGUGGCGAAGGCGGCUCACUGGACUGUAACUGACGCUGAGGCGCGAAAGCGUGGGGAGCGAACG